Molecule: ribosomal RNA, 450 nt
Filed under: uncultured bacterium
Lineage: Bacteria
Description: bacterial SSU rRNA
Rfam family: Bacterial small subunit ribosomal RNA
Source: RNAcentral
AGCGAACGCUGGCGGCAGGCCUAAUACAUGCAAGUCGAACGGUCUCUUCGGAGGCAGUGGCGGACGGGUGAGUAACGCGUGGGAACGUGCCCUUUGGUACGGAACAACUGAGGGAAACUUCAGCUAAUACCGUAUGUGCCCUUCGGGGGAAAGAUUUAUCGCCAUUGGAGCGGCCCGCGUUGGAUUAGCUAGUUGGUGGGGUAAUGGCCCACCAAGGCGACGAUCCAUAGCUGGUCUGAGAGGAUGAUCAGCCACACUGGGACUGAGACACGGCCCAGACUCCUACGGGAGGCAGCAGUAGGGAAUCUUGCGCAAUGGGCGAAAGCCUGACGCAGCCAUGCCGCGUGAAUGAUGAAGGUUUUAGGAUUGUAAAAUUCUUUCACCGGGGACGAUAAUGACGGUACCCGGAGAAGAAGCCCCGGCUAACUUCGUGCCAGCAGCCGCAGUAAU